Molecule: ribosomal RNA, 459 nt
Filed under: uncultured bacterium
Lineage: Bacteria
Description: partial 16S ribosomal RNA
Rfam family: Bacterial small subunit ribosomal RNA
Source: RNAcentral
CCUACGGGUGGCUGCAGUGAGGAAUAUUGGUCAAUGGGCGCUAGCCUGAACCAGCCAAGUAGCGUGAAGGAUGACUGCCCUAUGGGUUGUAAACUUCUUUUAUAUGGGAAUAAAGUGCAGUAUGUAUACUGCUUUGCAUGUACCUUAUGAAUAAGGAUCGGCUAACUCCGUGCCAGCAGCCGCGGUAAUACGGAGGAUCCGAGCGUUAUCCGGAUUUAUUGGGUUUAAAGGGUGCGUAGGCGGUUUUUUAAGUUAGUGGUUAAACGUCGGGGCUUCACCUUGAUUUGCCAUUAAUACUGUAAGACUCGAGUUCAGACGAGGUAGGCGGAAUAAGUUAAGUAGCGGUGAAAUGCUUAGAUAUAACUUAGAACUCCGAUAGCGAAGGCAGCUUACCAGACUGCGACUGACGCUGAAGCACGAGAGCGUGGGUAGCGAACAGGAUUAGAUACCCGAGUAGUC